AUUGAACGCGGGCGGCGUGCCUAACACAUGCAAGUCGAGCGGUAACAGGUGUAGCAAUACAUGCUGACGAGCGGCGAACGGGUGAGUAAUGCUUCGGAAUCUACCUUAUGGUGGGGAAUAACUAGCCGAAAGGUUAGCUAAUACCGCAUACGUCCUACGGGAGAAAGCAGGGGAUCGCAAGACCUUGCGCCAAAAGAUGAGCCGAAGUCGGAUUAGCUAGUUGGGAGGGUAACGGCCUACCAAGGCGACGAUCCGUAGCUGGUCUGAGAGGACGACCAGCCACACUGGGACUGAGACACGGCCCAGACUCCUACGGGAGGCAGCAGUGGGGAAUAUUGGACAAUGGGGGAAACCCUGAUCCAGCGACGCCGCGUGUGUGAAGAAGGCCUGCGGGUUGUAAAGCACUUUUAGUGGGGAUGAAAUGUGCAGGGUUAAUACCUCUGCAUUUUGACCUAACCCACAGAAAAAGCACCGGCUAACUCUGUGCCAGCCGCCGCAGUAA
This 502-nucleotide ribosomal RNA is filed under the name uncultured bacterium. RNAcentral describes it as "partial 16S ribosomal RNA". It matches the Rfam family "Bacterial small subunit ribosomal RNA", at positions 30 to 523 of the family's 1533-position model. The record is from RNAcentral.